AAAUUGAAGAGUUUGAUCAUGGCUCAGAUUGAACGCUGGCGGCAGGCCUAACACAUGCAAGUCGAACGGUAACAGGAAGAAGCUUGCUUCUUUGCUGACGAGUGGCGGACGGGUGA
RNAcentral lists this ribosomal RNA (116 nucleotides) under Escherichia coli. Its description in RNAcentral is "partial 16S ribosomal RNA". It matches the Rfam family "Bacterial small subunit ribosomal RNA", at positions 1 to 109 of the family's 1533-position model. RNAcentral also lists the same sequence under 1 other name. The record is from RNAcentral. Lineage: Bacteria; Pseudomonadati; Pseudomonadota; Gammaproteobacteria; Enterobacterales; Enterobacteriaceae.